RNAcentral lists this ribosomal RNA (833 nucleotides) under Nonomuraea sp. IM-1968. RNAcentral describes it as "bacterial SSU rRNA". It matches the Rfam family "Bacterial small subunit ribosomal RNA", at positions 38 to 889 of the family's 1533-position model. The record is from RNAcentral. Lineage: Bacteria; Bacillati; Actinomycetota; Actinomycetes; Streptosporangiales; Streptosporangiaceae.
GGCGGCGUGCUUAACACAUGCAAGUCGAGCGGAAAGGCCCUUCGGGGGUACUCGAGCGGCGAACGGGUGAGUAACACGUGAGCAACCUGCCCCUGACUCUGGGAUAAGCCCGGGAAACUGGGUCUAAUACCGGAUAUGACCGCCCCUGGCAUCGGGUGGUGGUGGAAAGUUUUUUCGGUUGGGGAUGGGCUCGCGGCCUAUCAGCUUGUUGGUGGGGUAGUGGCCUACCAAGGCGACGACGGGUAGCCGGCCUGAGAGGGCGACCGGCCACACUGGGACUGAGACACGGCCCAGACUCCUACGGGAGGCAGCAGUGGGGAAUAUUGCGCAAUGGGCGGAAGCCUGAGCCAGCGACGCCGCGUGGGGGAUGACGGCCUUCGGGUUGUAAACCUCUUUCAGCAGGGACGAAGUUGACGUGUACCUGCAGAAGAAGCGCCGGCUAACUACGUGCCAGCAGCCGCGGUAAUACGUAGGGCGCAAGCGUUGUCCGGAACUAUUGGGCGUAAAGAGCUCGUAGGUGGCUGAUCGCGUCUGCCGUGAAAGCCCGCAGCUUAACUGCGGGUCUGCGGUGGAUACGGGCCGGCUAGAGGUAGGUAGGGGCAAGUGGAAUUCCUGGUGUAGCGGUGAAAUGCGCAGAUAUCAGGAGGAACACCGGUGGCGAAGGCGGCUUGCUGGGCCUUACCUGACGCUGAGGAGCGAAAGCGUGGGGAGCGAACAGGAUUAGAUACCCUGGUAGUCCACGCUGUAAACGUUGGGCGCUAGGUGUGGGGAUCUUCCACGAUCUCCGUGCCCGAGCUAACGCAUUAAGCGCCCCGCCUGGGGAGUACGGCCGC